This 513-nucleotide ribosomal RNA is filed under the name uncultured bacterium. RNAcentral's name for it is "partial 16S ribosomal RNA". It matches the Rfam family "Bacterial small subunit ribosomal RNA", at positions 28 to 507 of the family's 1533-position model. The record is from RNAcentral.
GACGAACGCUGGCGGCGUGCUUAACACAUGCAAGUCGAACGAGAGCGUAGAGAAAGCUUGCUUUUUCUACAAUCUAGUGUCAAACGGGUGAGUAACGCGUAAACAACCUGCCCUACGGAUGGGGACAACAGCUGGAAACGGCUGCUAAUACCGAAUACGUUCCGAAAGUCGCAUGACUAUCGGAAGAAAGGAUGGCCUCUAUUUAUAAGCUAUCGCCGGAGGAGGGGUUUGCGUCUGAUUAGCUAGUUGGAGGGGUAACGGCCCACCAAGGCGACGAUCAGUAGCCGGUCUGAGAGGAUGAACGGCCACAUUGGAACUGAGACACGGUCCAGACUCCUACGGGAGGCAGCAGUGGGGAAUCUUCCGCAAUGGGCGAAAGCCUGACGGAGCAACGCCGCGUGAGUGAAGACGGCCUUCGGGUUGUAAAGCUCUGUUAUACGGGACGAAUAAUCUUGUGGUUAAUACCCAUGAGAAGUGACGGUACCGUAAGAGAAAGCCACGGCUAACUACGUG